CAAGUAUUUGAUAGAACUUAUGUUCAUAUACGCCAUUUCUUAUACAUCAACAUUUGUUCAUCGGAAUCUAAGCACAGCCAUCACCGCCAUUCCCUAGACAUCAAGGUCUUGCCGUUCAAAAAUGGUAAACUCUUGGCAUCUUUUGCACUUGUGUCGAGCGACGAUUCGCUGCCACGUUGGCAAUUAGAUUGGGUCAAUUUGGAGAAUCUGAAAGUACUUUUAAGGAACGACGAUUAUGCUGAGUUAAGUAGUAGCUCGUUCGUGUACGUAGGUUCGAACACGAACGACGACACUAUUUACUGGGCAAUCGGCAUUUCCAGUGAAAGUGCUUUGGUUCUUAAAUUGGAGGACUUGAAGUUUUGUUUCGUUGGGUUUAGAACGCUUGUGGUUGCAACCGAUUGAGUUGAGUUCAGAGCCAUGGGCAAUUUGGUUAUUACCGGUCAUUGCUAAGCCAAAGGUUACUCUGAUCCGAUUCUCACCUAUUCAACUGGCAUCUCUCAAAAUAUUGCCAUAGCCAUUGACGGCACGAGCAUGGAUGGGAAAGGCGUGGACGCUGCUGCCUGCUAGUUACCUUCCAUCGGGAGCUCUCCGGCGAUGGAUGAUGACACAGCUACUGAGGCUGAUUGGUGCAAGGACAAGGCGUGACGCGUAACAACUGCGAUGGAGGACGCGCGGUAGAGAUGCGGCGAGGGGAGAGCUGCACGCCAGGAAGGGUGCCUGAUGGUGGCGCAAUAGAGAUACGACAACGGCACAAAGUGCGGGAGGAGAUUGACGGGAGGAGAAGCGUGAGAGAGAGGACAGAAGGUAGAAGUUAAGGUAAGGGACGGUAAAGCUGUCAACAUUCACAUGUUUUGUAGCCGCCGACCAGGUCUUAUGGUCUCUACAAUGCAGGCUCUGGAUAACUUUGGAUUAGAUGUUCAGCAAGCUGUUAUUAGUUGCUUCAAUGGUUUUGCUUUAGACAUCUUCAAAGC
Molecule: non-coding RNA, 971 nt
Organism: Arachis ipaensis
Lineage: Eukaryota; Viridiplantae; Streptophyta; Magnoliopsida; Fabales; Fabaceae
Source: RefSeq, a predicted model, not a curated record